Molecule: RNA transcript, 4155 nt
Organism: Pongo pygmaeus (Bornean orangutan)
Lineage: Eukaryota; Metazoa; Chordata; Mammalia; Primates; Hominidae
Gene: PGM3
Gene name: phosphoglucomutase 3
Exons: 18
Source: RefSeq, a predicted model, not a curated record
UCUGAGGACAGAGUCUGGGUGCAGACGUUGUUGCUUGGGUACUUCUCUGUUGCGUGUAGGUGAAGGGGGCUUCCUGACCGAGGUAAGCCGGGCCCCGAGGCUCGGAGUUGAGAAGGGAGACUACCGGUCGGCAAGGGCUCGGUGGGAGCGGGACAGGUCAGAUUCUCGGCCCGACGGAGGGGCUAGCGGUCUGGUGGGCGACUGACCGAGCGGCGGAGCGCGCGGGACACACCUACAGGCCCCUGCGCCCUGCGAGCGGGCUGGUCGGGCCGGGCCGCGGGUCUCCUGCCGGGGCUCUGACAUGGAUUUAGGUGCUAUUACAAAAUACUCAGCAUUACAUGCCAAGCCCAAUGGACUGAUCCUUCAAUACGGGACUGCUGGAUUUCGAACGAAGGCAGAACAUCUUGAUCAUGUCAUGUUUCGCAUGGGAUUAUUAGCUGUCCUGAGGUCAAAACAGACAAAAUCCACUAUAGGAGUCAUGGUAACAGCGUCCCACAAUCCUGAGGAAGACAAUGGUGUAAAAUUGGUUGAUCCUUUGGGUGAAAUGUUGGCACCAUCCUGGGAGGAACAUGCCACCUGUUUAGCAAAUGCUGAGGAACAAGAUAUGCAGAGAGUGCUUAUUGACAUCAGCGAGAAAGAAGCUGUGAAUUUGCAACAAGAUGCCUUUGUAGUUAUUGGUAGAGAUACCAGGCCCAGCAGUGAGAAACUUUCACAAUCUGUAAUAGAUGGUGUGACUGUUCUAGGAGGUCAAUUCCAUGAUUAUGGCUUGUUAACAACACCCCAGCUGCACUACAUGGUGUAUUGUCGAAACACGGGUGGCCGAUACGGAAAGGCAACUAUAGAAGGUUACUACCAGAAACUCUCUAAGGCUUUUGUGGAACUCACCAAACAGGCUUCCUGCAGUGGAGAUGAAUACAGAUCACUUAAGGUCGACUGUGCAAAUGGCAUAGGGGCCCUGAAGCUAAGGGAAAUGGAACACUACUUCUCACAGGGCCUGUCAGUUCAGCUGUUUAAUGAUGGGUCCAAGGGCAAACUCAAUCAUUUAUGUGGAGCUGACUUUGUGAAAAGUCAUCAGAAACCUCCACAGGGAAUGGAAAUUAAGUCCAAUGAAAGAUGCUGUUCUUUUGAUGGAGAUGCAGACAGAAUUGUUUAUUACUACCAUGAUGCAGAUGGCCACUUUCAUCUCAUAGAUGGAGACAAGAUAGCAACGUUAAUUAGCAGUUUCCUUAAAGAGCUCCUGGUGGAGAUUGGAGAAAGUUUGAAUAUUGGUGUUGUACAAACUGCAUAUGCAAAUGGAAGUUCAACACGGUAUCUUGAAGAAGUUAUGAAGGUACCUGUCUAUUGCACUAAGACUGGUGUAAAACAUUUGCACCACAAGGCUCAAGAGUUUGACAUUGGAGUUUAUUUUGAAGCAAAUGGGCAUGGCACUGCACUGUUUAGUACAGCUGUUGAAAUGAAGAUAAAACAAUCAGCAGAACAACUGGAAGAUAAGAAAAGAAAAGCUGCUAAGAUGCUUGAAAACAUUAUUGACUUGUUUAACCAGGCAGCUGGUGAUGCUAUUUCUGACAUGCUGGUGAUUGAGGCAAUCUUGGCUCUGAAGGGCUUGACUGUACAACAGUGGGAUGCUCUCUAUACAGAUCUUCCGAACAGACAACUUAAAGUUCAGGUUGCAGACAGGAGAGUUAUUAGCACUACCAAUGCUGAAAGACAAGCAGUUACACCCCCAGGAUUACAGGAGGCAAUCAAUGACCUGGUGAAGAAGUACAAGCUUUCUCGAGCUUUUGUCCGGCCCUCUGGUACAGAAGAUGUCGUCCGAGUAUAUGCAGAAGCAGACUCACAAGAAAGUGCAGAUCACCUUGCACAUGAAGUGAGCUUGGCAGUAUUUCAGCUGGCUGGAGGAAUUGGAGAAAGACCCCAACCAGUAACACCUUGACAAGUAAAGAGGAUAAACUUAUUUUGAUUCUUGUCAUGGAAGAUAAAAAGUCAGUAUCAUGAGCAUACUAUUUCAUGUCCCUCCAAAAGCACCACAGAAUAGUUAUCACUUUUGUGAAGAAAACCAUAUCCAAAAGAUGAGCCAAAACCUAUAAAAACAUAAAAAAUGAAGAGUAACGUAUGAGGUGAAACUGACAUCAUCCCAAGGAUAUAAAUAUGGGCAAAUCUUGCCAUUUCCAACUGAGAUAGGGAAGUACAAAAAAGAAAAGAGUUCAAGAACCUUCUGUGACAAUAAUAAACCUAAAUGUUUGACAAGAAUACCUUCAACAUCAGAUUCCAAAUUGGUUCCAUCUACCAUUAUUUUGGGAGAAGGCUUAACUUCAAGAUUUCGUCGCAGCCAUGUUGUUUGUUCCAGAGAAGAACCAGCAAUUGCACCAAUUGCAUCCACUAUUUUAAUAUGCACAUGUUGAAAAGGAAGAGGAUCCUUCAUUCUGAAAGGAAGAAAAGGCAUGUGAGGAAACAGUAAAAUAUUGGAGGGGAACAGCUACAGAUCCCAACAAAUGAACUUAAUUUUUUGAUGAAAUUAGCCAGCAGGGUUAUUUGGUGAUGAUUCCAACACCUGUACAUACAUUCCCUCUCUGAACCUUAUGACAACUCCUGUGUAGCUGGGACUACAGGCACGUGUGACCACGCCUGGCUAAUUUUUAAACUUUUGAAGAGACACGGUCUCCCUAUGUUGCCUAGGCUGGUCUCAAACUCCCGGGCUCAAGCAAUCCUCUUGCUUCAGCAUCCCAAAGUGCUGGGAUUGCAGGCAUGAACCACCGCACAUGGCUUCUUUCUUUCUUUUCAUGAUCAAAUAUCCUCAAAGAAGAAUCAACACUUUCCCACACUAAGCAUUUGCUGUUAACACAUCUGUGCUUCUACCUCUCCAAACCCUCUCUCCAAAAUCAUCAGAUAACUGGUGAUUAGAUAAUUAGGAUGCCUGUCCAGAUUGUCAACAAACAUAGCCUUUUAUUAUUCCUCACCUUCUUAAGGUCUCUGAAGGUGUUAACCAAGCCCUCUUAACCUCCCUUUGGUUCUGGAACAAUUAAAUACCUGGUUUUCUUCUUUUUGAUACAUCCCUUUCUAUAUCCUUUGCUGGCCCCUUCUCCUUCUUUAUCCUGUUCUUUCAAUUCCAUCAAUAGUUGAAACCAUCCCCACACUUCCCACUUGAAAUAGAAUUCCUAGUCUAGCCUCUUUCCCCUCUGAUCUAGCCUACUACUACUAACAUGCCAGUCAUGUCUCUCCUCAAAAACCUGCAACCGCUCCCACUCCCUCUCAAGACCACAUUCUUUAAAAUAAAAUUCAAGAUCCUGCUCCAUCUAGCUCCCAUCUCCCUUUUCAUCCAGCCUUAUUUUCCACUAUACCACUGCCUGUGCCCUGCUCUAUUACCAAAUCAGACAAUGUACUUUGCCCCAGAAUACCCUUCCCCUUCCUGUUUCACAAAGGCUUUCUGUGCCCACCACCUCUAUUCACUUAUCAAGUAUUUACUGGGGACCUAUUAGGAAUCAAGAAUAAUGGCAAGCAAGAAACAGAGACUGUCUAUGACAUCCCAGUACUUGCAGUCAUGGGUGACUAACAUUUAUCAAAUAAUCAUAUAAAUCAUUAAGAUAAAUCAGGAAACUCCAAGACACAGAGAGAAAAAUUUUCCCAGGCUGUUUAGGUUUGGGGCCCAGCUCAAGUGUCCCUCGUCUAUGAAGUUCCCCUUCAGCCAUGCUACAUCAUCCCCUUCCCUUUCCAUCCCAUAUUCUCCACCACCAAGGAAACAGCUGCUGUUCUAACAGUUUUAUGUUAGUGUAGUUACAUUUUGUUUAUGUAUAAACAUAGACUGUUUCCUCCUCUCACCCUGCCUCCCAGUUUUUUUUUUUCUUAAACAGGCCUUAUACAUCUAGUUUUGCAUCUCAAGAACACUAUGAGAAGGUAGAGAGAUCACUUCACCUAAAACAUCUAUUACUAAUACUUGGCAACUAGGACAAUUAACAUUAUCCUUUUAUCUGAAAUAAUAUUUGUAAGUGAAAUUGCUUACCCAAGUAUAAGAAACUGCCCUGGAGCUGGAAGACUCAGUUGUAUAGAGUCUUUCAGAAGUAUCAACAGUGACGCCCAGCUAUCCACUAAAUUGGGCACUGGAAUUCUGCAAGAUAAUAUAGUUUAUACAAAAGCCACAAUAAACUAUGGUUUUCUACU